This is a non-coding RNA of Podarcis lilfordi (Lilford's wall lizard), 2061 nucleotides long. The record is from the annotation of a GenBank genome assembly. Lineage: Eukaryota; Metazoa; Chordata; Lepidosauria; Squamata; Lacertidae.
GUGCCCCGCUUCGCACUGCGUCGCCCCGGCCUGCCGGUGCCAAAAUCAUUUUCAGCCCCGGCCGAGGGGGGCUGCUUCGCGAAGGUUUUUUUUUCCUUCGCUGGGGUGUGACUUGAGCUAGCGGGAGGCAGGGGGAGGUUCUCCUGGCCGGCGAAGAGUUUUGCCGCGCUUGCUGAGGAGGAGGAAAGCAGGGGCAACCAGGCGCGCGCAGCAGGCCCCCUCGGGGUCCGCUCACCUGGGCCAGAGGCCUAACAGUCCUGCAAAAGUCAAUGAUCUAAUCUCCCCACUGUAGCUCUUCUUUGAUCCCCUCAACAAUGCACUUGCAAAUCAGCUGUCGCGCGAAACCAUUCUGUGUCCCAAUCAGCAGAGAAUGCAAUGGGAAAACCGUAUGAUGCAGCACGCUGUGCAAAAAGAAUGUCAAUCGCACGAUUCCCAAGCAAGGGAUCCUCGUAGGCUUUCAUGGCGUUGUUGUUGUUGUUGUUUAGUCGUGUCCGACUCUUCAUGACCCCAUGGACCAGAGCACGCCAGGCACUUCUGUCUUCCACUGCCUCCCGCAGUUUGAUCAAACUCAUGCUGGUGGCUUCGAGAACACUAUCCAACCAUCUCGUCCUCUGUCGUCCCCUUCUUGUGCCCUCCAUCUUUCCCAACAUCAGGGUCUUUUCCAGGGAGUCUUCCCAUGAGGUGGCCAAAGUAUUGGAGCCUCAGCUUCAGGAUCUGUCCUUCCAGUGAGCACUCAGGGCUGAUUUCCUUAAGAAUGGAUACGUUUGAUCUUCUUGCAGUCCAUGGGACUCUCAGGAGUCUCCUCCAACACCAUAAUUCAAAAGCAUCAAUUCUUUGGCGAUCAGCCUUCUUUAUGGCCCAGCUCUCACUUCCAUACAUCACUACUGGGAAAACCAUAGCUUUAACUAUACGGACCUUUGUUGGCAAGGUGAUGUCUCUGCUUUUUAAGAUGCUGUCUAGGUUUGUCAUUGCUUUUCUCCCAAGAAGCAGGCGUCUUUUAAUUUCGUGGCUGCUGUCACCAUCUGCAGUGAUCAUGGAGCCCAAGAAAGUAAAAUCUCUCACUGCCUCCAUUUCUCCCCUUCUAUUUGCCAGGAGGUGAUGGGACAAGUGGCCAUGAUCUUCGUUUUUUUGAUGUUGAGCUUCAGACCAUAUUUUGCGCUCUCCUCUUUCACCCUCAUUAAAAGGUUCUUUAAUUCCUCCUCACUUUCUGCCAUUAACAAAGUGUAUGCCUUCUCAAAGCCUCCAUCGAAACACAGGCUACUAACAUCUUUUUCUGUGGGCGGCUCACAAAAAGUAAGGUCCUGAAUGUGAAUUCUAGGUGUUUUGAUUCUACUAGAUCCAGCUUGCUAGAGCCAUCUGUUUUAAUUUUACAAAAUUCCACUGAUUACUUACUGUUGAGCCUAAGCAACACUUGAAUUAUGAGGGUGUGGGGGCAUAAUGAAACCCACUCCAACACCUCCCAAUUUUAGCCAAAUUGCAGGUCUGAUGAAAAUGGGGCCCAGGUGGGUCUCGCCUCCUGUAAUUCAAAUAUUAUGUAUGGGCAGAGCCCUACAAAUAUCCUCAAGAUUCAUGCCAAAGAUGUUCUCUUGAGAUGCAUCAAUAAGCCUUUGUUACUAGAGCAUGAUUGCAAUAACUUCUCAGAAUUGAACACAUAAAGCUGAUUUCUACCAAGUUGGUCUAUCUUGUCUGAUAAUGUCAAUUAUAUUAAGGCAUGGUCUUUCAAGAUCUCAGGAGGUGCCUGCCAUUUUGAACUAGAGCCCUUGAAACAUGAAUAUUCUAUCAUUUAACUAUUGUUCUUCUGAUUCACCUAAUUAAGAGAAAUAAAGCCAGUUUUGAUAAAUAAGCAUUAGUAAGCAUUCCAACUUUCUGUCUCUAAAUAAUGUAAUUAUUGUUUUAUAUGCAAAUUUCAGGUAGUGGCACCCUCCCUGUAGAACACCCUUCGGAUGCCAAUGAGAUAAAGAACUAUACAACUUUUAGAAGACAUCUGAAGGCAGCCCUGUUUCGGGAAGUUUUUAAUGUUUGAUGUUUGAUUAUGUUUUUAUAUAUGCUGUAAGCCGCCCG